This 501-nucleotide ribosomal RNA is filed under the name uncultured Campylobacterota bacterium. Its description in RNAcentral is "bacterial SSU rRNA". It matches the Rfam family "Bacterial small subunit ribosomal RNA", at positions 8 to 524 of the family's 1533-position model. Lineage: Bacteria; Pseudomonadati; Campylobacterota. The record is from RNAcentral.
AGAGUUUGAUCCUGGCUCAGAAUGAACGCUGGCGGCGUGCUUAACACAUGCAAGUCGAACGGUAACAGAUCUAGCUUGCUAGAUGCUGACGAGUGGCGCACGGGUGAGUAAUAUAUAGUUAACGUGCCCCUAAGCCUGGGAUAGCCACUGGAAACGGUGAUUAAUACCGGAUAUACCUUCUACUUACAAGAGUAGUUGGGAAAGGUUUUUCGCUAAGGGAUCGGACUAUAUUGUAUCAGCUAGUUGGUGAGGUAAGAGCUCACCAAGGCAAUGACACAUAGCGGGUUUGAGAGGAUGAUCCGCCACACUGGUACUGAGACACGGACCAGACUCCUACGGGAGGCAGCAGUGAGGAAUAUUGCACAAUGGGCGAAAGCCUGAUGCAGCAACGCCGCGUGGAGGAUGACGCAUUUCGGUGUGUAAACUCCUUUUAUAAGAGAAGAAAAUGACGGUAUCUUAUGAAUAAGUCCCGGCUAAUUCCGUGCCAGCAGCCGCGGUAAU